AAGGGCUUAGCUUAAUUAAAGUAGUUGAUUUGCGUUCAUUUGAUGUAAGAUAAAAUCUUGCAGCCCUUA
This 69-nucleotide transfer RNA is filed under the name Ia io (Great evening bat). RNAcentral's name for it is "tRNA-Ala". It matches the Rfam family "tRNA". From Rfam's summary of the family: Transfer RNA (tRNA) molecules are approximately 80 nucleotides in length. Their secondary structure includes four short double-helical elements and three loops (D, anti-codon, and T loops). The record is from RNAcentral. Lineage: Eukaryota; Metazoa; Chordata; Mammalia; Chiroptera; Vespertilionidae.